CCUGGCCUUGACAUACUAAGAACUUUCCAGAGAUGGAUUGGUGCCUUCGGGAACUUAGAUACAGGUGCUGCAUGGCUGUCGUCAGCUCGUGUCGUGAGAUGUUCGGGUUAAGUCCCGCAACGAGCGCAACCCUUUUCCUUAUUUGCCAGCGGGUUAAGCCGGGAACUUUAAGGAUACUGCCAGUGACAAACUGGAGGAAGGCGGGGACGACGUCAAGUCAUCAUGGCCCUUACGGCCAGGGCUACACACGUGCUACAAUGGUCGGUACAAAGGGUUGCUACCUCGCGAGAGGAUGCUAAUCUCAAAAAGCCGAUCGUAGUCCGGAUCGCAGUCUGCAACUCGACUGCGUGAAGUCGGAAUCGCUAGUAAUCGCGGAUCAGAAUGCCGCGGUGAAUACGUUCCCGGGCCUUGUACACACCGCCCGUCACACCAUGGGAGUUUGUUGCACCAGAAGUAGGUAGUCUAACCGCAAAGGAGGACGCUUACCACGGUGUGGCCGAUGACUGGGGUGAAGUCGUAACAAGGUAAGCGUAGAUGA
Molecule: ribosomal RNA, 538 nt
Filed under: uncultured bacterium
Lineage: Bacteria
Description: bacterial SSU rRNA
Rfam family: Bacterial small subunit ribosomal RNA
Source: RNAcentral